Molecule: long non-coding RNA, 2777 nt
Filed under: Salmo salar (Atlantic salmon)
Lineage: Eukaryota; Metazoa; Chordata; Actinopteri; Salmoniformes; Salmonidae
Description: lncRNA (ENSSSAG00000112056.1)
Rfam family: UnaL2 LINE 3' element (bases 2477-2531)
Source: RNAcentral
GUGGCUUCAAUACCAUCAACAAAACACCAAAUGAUGGAAUUUCCUCGUGGAAGAAUGGCGUCUCAUCCCUCCGAUAGACUUCCCAGACACUUGUAGAAUCGAUGUCAAGGUGUAUUAAAGCUGUUCUGGUUGGUGGAGGACCCGACGUCCUAUUAAAACACUGUUGGAGUUUCCUUUAUUCUCCCAGUUACCUGGUGGUUGGUGGAGGACCUGGAGUUUCCUUUAUUCUGCCAGUUACCUGGUGGACGACCCGACCUCCUAUUAAAACACUGUUGGAGUUUCCUUUAUUCUGCCAGUUACCUGGUGGACGACCCGACCUCUUAUUAAAACACUGUUGGAGUUUCCUUUAUUCUGCCAGUUACCUGGUGGACGACCCGACCUCCUAUUAAAACACUAUGUUGGAGUUUCCUUUAUUCUGCCAGUUACCUGGUGGACGACCCGACCUCCUAUUAAAACACUAUGUUGGAGUUUCCUUUAUUCUGCCAGUUACCUGGUGGUUGGUGGACCUGGAGUUUCCUUUAUUCUGCCAGUUACCUGGUGGACGACCCGACCUCCUAUUAAAACACUGUUGGUGUUUCCUUUAUUCUGCCAGUUACCUGGUGGUUGGUGGAGGACCUGGAGUUUCCUUUAUUCUGCCAGUUACCUGGUGGACGACCCGACGUCCUAUUAAAACACUGUUGGAGUUUCCUUUAUUCUGCCAGUUACCUGGUGGACGACCCGACCUCCUAUUAAAACACUGUUGGAGUUUCCUUUAUUCUGCCAGUUACCUGGUGGUUGGUGGACCUGGAGUUUCCUUUAUUCUGCCAGUUACCUGGUGGACGACCCGACCUAUUAAAACACUAUGUUGGAGUUUCCUUUAUUCUGGCAGUUACCUGGUGGUUGGUGGAGGACCUGGAGUUUCCUUUAUUCUGCCAGUUACCUCCUAUUAAAACACUUUAUGUUGCUGUUUCCUUCACAAGGUUCAUUUCCAUCUUGCUGUUUGUUGAAAGGUCAAGAUGUUUGGAUGUGUAUUUUAUUCUUCUGAUUGUUACAGAUUGGCUAAAUGCAGACAAAAUGCAACCCAAAACAGUCUUACCACAGUGUGCUUAUUGUGUGUGUGUGUGUGUGUGUGUGUGUGUGUGUGCGUGUGCUUAUUGUGUGUGUGUGUGUGUUGCGUCAGGUCUGCUUUCACCUAGUUAUGUAUAGCUGUUGUGUUUCAAUGUCAAAGUAUUAUUCAGGUCCUGAGGGCCAAAACAUUUCUGCUUUCUCUUCCUACCUGAUGUCCCCAGGUCUGAAUGAGUCUCUCUACCUGAUGUCCCCAGGUCUGAAUGAGUCUCUCUACCUGAUGUCCCCAGGUCUGAAUGAGUCUCUCUACCUGAUGUCCCCAGGUCUGAAUUAGUCCCAGGUCUGAAUGAGUCUCUCUACCUGAUGUCCCCAGGUCUGAAUGAGUCUCAGGUCUGAAUGAGUCUCUCUACCUGAUGUCCCCAGGUCUGAAUGAGUCUCUCUACCUGAUGUCCCCAGGUCUGAAUGAGUCUCUCUACCUGAUGUCCCCAGGUCUGAAUGAGUCUCUCUACCUGAUGUCCCCAGGUCUGAAUGAGUCUCUCUACCUGAUGUCCCCAGGUCUGAAUGAGUCUCUCUACCUGAUGUCCCCAGGUCUGAAUGAGUCUCUCUACCUGAUGUCCCCAGGUCUGAAUGAGUCUCUCUACCUGAUGUCCCCAGGUCUGAAUUAGUCCCAGGUCUGAAUGAGUCUCUCUACCUGAUGUCCCCAGGUCUGAAUGAGUCUCUCUACCUGAUGUCCCCAGGUCUGAAUGAGUCUCUCUACCUGAUGUCCCCAGGUCUGAAUGAGUCUCUCUACCUGAUGUCCCCAGGUCUGAAUGAGUCUCUCUACCUGAUGUCCCCAGGUCUGAAUGAGUCCCAGGUCUGAAUGAGUCUCUCUACCUGAUGUCCCCAGGUCUGAAUGAGUCCCAGGUCUGAAUGAGUCUCUCUACCUGAUGUCCCCAGGUCUGAAUGAGUCUCUCUACCUGAUGUCCCCAGGUCUGAAUGAGUCUCAGGUCUGAAUGAGUCUCAACCUGUUGUCCCCAGGUCUGAAUGAGUCUCGGGUCUGAACGAGUCUCGGAUUACAGGUAGAGGAUGAGAACCAGUAGUGUUUCGUCCCUCCAGGACCAGAAAGAAAUAGCCCUUGGCUAGAUUCAAUCUGAUCCGCAGAAGAUCCGGGUUAUAGUUCACCUUUAAAAAAACCAAAAAGGUAAUUUAGGAUUGAGCCUACUGUUAACGUGGAAACUUUACCUUUUAAUAAGGUGCACAGCCGAAAAGAGGAGAUCGGAUUUGAAUCUAGGAACAGCUUCCUCCCUCCAGUCCUAACGAGGGGUGAGAGAUAUAUAUAUAUAUAUGGGUCCCGUGUGGCUCAGUUGGUAGAGCAUGGGUGUUUGCAACGCCAGGGUUGUGGGUUCGAUUCCCACGGGGGACCAAUACGGGGGGGGGAAAUGUCUGAAAUGUAUGCAUUCACUACUGUAAGUCGCUCUGGAUAAGAGCGUCUGCUAAAAUGACUAAAAUGUAAAUGUUAAUAACUGAUCUAGGAUCAGUUUCCUCCCUCCAGUCCUAACAGGUCACCAUUAGAGAGGUGAUAUAUAUAUAUAACUGAUCUAGGACCAGUGUUGAACAGGUCACCAUUAGAGAGGUGAUAUAUAUAUAUAUAUAACUGAUCUAGGACCAGUCCUAACAGGUCACCAUUAGAGAGGUGAUAUAUAUAUAUAUAUGACUGAUCUAGGAUCAGUCCUAACGGGUCACCAUUAGAGAGG